UACGUAGGGGGCUAGCGUUGUCCGGAUUUAUUGGGCGUAAAGAGCGUGUAGGCGGCUUGGCAAGUCUGCUGUGAAAACUCGAGGCUCAACCUCGAGCUGUCGGUGGAAACUGCUUGGCUAGAGUCCGGAAGAGGAGAGUGGAAUUCCUGGUGUAGCGGUGAAAUGCGCAGAUAUCAGGAAGAACACCUAUGGCGAAGGCAGCUCUCUGGGACGGAACUGACGCUGAGGCGCGAAAGCGUGGGGAGCAAACAGG
This 253-nucleotide ribosomal RNA is filed under the name uncultured bacterium. RNAcentral's name for it is "partial 16S ribosomal RNA". It matches the Rfam family "Bacterial small subunit ribosomal RNA", at positions 524 to 776 of the family's 1533-position model. The record is from RNAcentral.